UACAGAGGGUGCGAGCGUUGUUCGGAAUUAUUGGGCGUAAAGGGCGCGUAGGCGGUGCGGUAAGUCACCUGUGAAAUCUCCUGGCUCAACUGGGAGCUUGCAGGCGAAACUGCCGUGCUGGAGUGUGGGAGAGGUGCGUGGAAUUCCUGGUGUAGCGGUGAAAUGCGUAGAUAUCAGGAGGAACACCGGUGGCGAAGGCGGCUUCCUGGACCGACACUGACGCUGAGGCGCGAAAGCUAGGGGAGCAAACGGG
RNAcentral lists this ribosomal RNA (253 nucleotides) under uncultured bacterium. RNAcentral's name for it is "partial 16S ribosomal RNA". It matches the Rfam family "Bacterial small subunit ribosomal RNA", at positions 524 to 776 of the family's 1533-position model. The record is from RNAcentral.